CUCAGUUUCAACCGGCUUCAUUCCUUUCCAAAGGGACAUGCCUAAGAUGAAUGGAGAAGCAAGAGCUCGCUCAAGUGGGCGAUUGGCUCAGCGAUGCCAAUCUGGACAAGAGGGAGGAAGGACAAUCAACACGACUGCCCUCUCCUCACCGCACAGUACUGAUUUCUUGUUUCACUUGAGACUCACAGCAUUCCUACAAGAGAGCCAGAUGGAGGACCCCAAAGUCCUGGAGAUGACAGAGCCACUAAGUGGAAAGAGCCUGAUCCAUGAAUGACUGCUUGGAGCAUGAUUUCCACUCCCCCUGCACCCUCUGCUGACCCACCUUGCACAAGAAUGUGAACUAGAAAUACAAUCUCAUUCUCUUAUGCUGUUGAAACUGGGCAUCUUUUUAUAGUACCUAAUGCUACUUACCCUAGCUAAUAUACCAAGGAAGUCUUUUGGACGUUUUGUAAGGACAAACCAUAAGACACACAUAAACACAGCUUCUGUGAAAUUCUUCUUUCCCACAGUUCACCUCUCCUGGGCCUUGGAACAUGAAUUCCAGCUUCUCUGUCAACCAAUGGCUAGAAGCAUUUUCUCCGUUAAAUUAAUUCAUUAGGGUGCUCUCCAAACACAUCCAUUGCCUGGUACUCAUUCCCUGGUCUGGCAAUGUGUGAGGAGCACAGGACUCCCUGGAUUUAUAUGCUCUAUUACUUGUAUUAGCAAGAAUACAAGGCUGCAGCCAUUUAUCAUCUACCAACCCACUGGACAAAAUUAUUCCCUCUAGACAUAAAGGUUGAAGUCGACUGAGUAUCAUUUUAACUGGAGGGAGAGGUACUUCCAUAAAGUGGCAAGAGCUUUAUGGCAGAAAGUUGUAUUAAUGACCCCACUUCAGUGCUUAUCAGGAGGAGGUCAUAUAAUCCCUUCCCAGAAUUACAGGCUGGCUGGUUCAGAUAAAUAACACAGAUCUCUGCCAUCCAUAAUCCAAAAUGUUAACAAUUAAUUUCCAAAAUCAGUCCUGAAGGGGACUGGAAGCCCAAAUUGCUAGACGCAAAUAGGCCUUGCUCCGUGGAUUUCUCAUGAGCCCAAAUCUAAACUUCAAACUUGUAACGAACUGUUGUCAAGACACAGCUGACUGAGGCAAUCAAGAUAACAUUAUUCAGCAAUAACCCGGGUGAAAAAUACUCUUAAGUGUGAAUUAAUAAGUCGGCUGACACCAGGCCCCAGAUGUUUCCUACUCUGGCAAUAUGCCCAAAGUGACGAUAAGCAGAUUUACAUACUUAACUAAUAUGUUUAUUUAAAGGAAAUUUCCAAAUCCAAAAUAACAUCCAGAUUUCUUAUUUGGCUGCAGAUCAAAAGACAUCCUAUCAAUAAGGACAGAAUCCAGGAUAAACCUUUUCAACAUCUGCUUAAAACCAAACAACAGAUUUGAGGAUUUGGGUAAAACUUAAUUGCAGACAAAUUUUACUGCCUCUUACAUAAAUAUAUAUUUUCAUGUCCCUGGGGUGGUUCUGACCUCAUCAGUUCCCAUGUUCACAAUACACAACAUUGUUCUUUUAGCGGCACCAACGACUCUGCCUUUAGGGAGCACUCAGGUCUCCAGGGUUUCUUUCACACUGAAGAAUGGAUAGACAGGCUUUCUCCCUCGUUGGGAAAGUCCCACCCAACUCAGGGGCGUGAGUUAGAGCUCAGGAAUGUUGCAGAAAGGAAAAAUCUGCCCUCUACCAACCAGGGAGCGCUUUGUGUUUCCAUAAUUACUAAAAUGCAUUUAUUUGGUCUCACUCUUCCUUCACCUUAAGAGAUGGUAGGAAUAAUGAUUCUCCUUUGGUAUUGACAUUUUUUUUUUUUUUGGUGGUGCUGAUGCUAUUGAUUCCCCACAUGGGAGCUCAGUAACUGGAUCUAAGUGUUGAUAGAUUUCCAGCUUGUGAAGGAGAUGAUAACAGAAUGGGUGUGGGCCUUAAUAGCUCAUGUCCCUUUAUGGUGAAUUAGCUCACUUUCCCAACUGUUAACUCCCUGAAGUUGGACCAAGAUCGUGGGGCACUGAGGCAUUUUUCCCACCCACUGGCUAGGGCUGUCAUUGAAUGAAAGGUCUGCUUCAGAAACUCCCUUUGCCGAGGGAUCUGUUUAAUAUCUGUUCAGGCCCAACAUCAGCCAGCUGACCCUGGGGCAGUGAGACUUUAAGAGUCAGAAGUCAUCCAUCUCCGCUCCAGCUCCAUCCUUUGAACUUGGUCAUGUGAAGUUUCUGGGUCCAAUCUCCUCACAGCCCAGAUGGGAAGAAUAGGUCAGUGGAAGCAGUCAAAGAAAUGCCAACUGAAACUGCAACGAGACACCAUUUUCCUCCUCUCCAUUGGCAAACAUGUUUCUAAAUACCCCAUUUGAUUACAGUUCAGAUUUCCCCCAUUAUAGGGGAUAUAUAUAACAAUUAUAUUUAUAUCAACUGUAGCUAUCAAAACCUUAAAAUGUGACCUUUCACCCAAAAAUUCUACUUCUAGAAUGCAUCUGAAGAGAGUUGCUAGGAAUUUGUGCGUAUAUCUAAUUAGGAGAGUAAAUGGUUGUGCUUAUGAUAAAAAAAAUCACAAAUGUCCGAAAUGUCAAACAAUUGAAACCAGCUGAUUAAGUGGUGGUCCACAAUUUAUGAAGUUAUUCAAAAUGAAGUUAAUAGAAUAAAAUUUAAUGACAGUGAAUUAUGUUUAUAUGCUGAGCAAAGUGGACUGCAAAAAGUAUGUUUUAUAUUUUACAGUUAAAAGAUGUAUAUGUACAAAUAUGUAAUAUGUAUAUAUAUUAAUGACACACAACAAAGUUACAACAGUGGUACAGUCAUAGGUAAUCAGAGUUUGGUUUUUGCUUAGUUUUAUAAUCUAAAUGUUCUAUAAUGAACAAGUAUUACUUUUAUUACCAAAAAUUCUAAAAACUUUGUGAAGGGGUUUUAUUUUAAAUCAUUUGCUUAGAGAUAUUUAUGCACUCAUUUUAAAUAUUCUUAUCAAUGAGUUUUGAUAACUGUAUGUAUAUCAUCAAUGAAUUAUGAUACAAAACAAAUAAAGUAUAGAAUUACUUUAUAAUUUCUAUUUUCCUGAAAAGUUCCUUCAUGCCCCUUUGUCGGCAGGUUCCUUCUUACCUCUAGUUCCAAGUCAACUUUCUGUCAGUGUUAUCACUGAAUUGCGCUACUCCCAGCAUUCAUAAGUUGAAAUCCUAACUCCCAAGACCUCAGGACAAGACUGUAUUGGGAGAGAGGGCCUUUAAAGACGUGAUCAAGGUAAAAUGAGGUCAUAUGGAGGGGCCCUACUCCAAUAUGACUGUUGUCAUUGUAAGAAGAAGAGAUCAGACACAGACAUGCACAGAGAGAUGCCCAUCCAAGGACACAAAGACGAGAGCCAACUACAAGUCAGAAAGACAGGCCGUCAGAAGAUGCCAGCCCUGCCCACUCCUUAGUAUCAGUAUUUUAGUCUCUAGCAUCAUGAGAAAAUUAAUUUCUGUUGUUUAGGCCACCCAGUCUUAAACCACCAAAUACCCAGUGGUAUUUUUAUGGCAGCCCUAGCAAACUAGUACAGUCACUAUGGUUUUUUUUUUUAAGUUUUAUGUAAUAAUGGAAUUGUACAGUGUAUAUGUUGGCUUUCUUUGCUCAGAUUUAGCCUUGAUGUUUUAGAGAUUCAUUCUUCUUGUAUGUAUCUGUAGACCAGUAGCUGAUGAUUACUUUUCAUUGCUGGAUUGUAUUUCAUUGUUUGGCUAUACCGCAUUUUGAUUAUCCAUUCAUCAGAUAUCAGACAUUUAUGUUAUUU
Long non-coding RNA from Manis javanica (Malayan pangolin), 3755 nucleotides. RefSeq lists it as uncharacterized. Lineage: Eukaryota; Metazoa; Chordata; Mammalia; Pholidota; Manidae. The record is from RefSeq and is a predicted model, not a curated record.